Molecule: unclassified non-coding RNA, 770 nt
Filed under: Hevea brasiliensis (rubber tree)
Lineage: Eukaryota; Viridiplantae; Streptophyta; Magnoliopsida; Malpighiales; Euphorbiaceae
Source: RNAcentral
GUUAUGGAAAGUCAAUAUUAUAUUUAGUUAUAUUACUAUCUAGUGUAGGAUUUAUAGAAUUCCUAGUCGGUAUAGUACAGCACAAUUAUAGGAAAGAAUUGUGUGUGUGUGUGUGUAUGUGUCGUGAAGCUUUGGAUAACUAGCAACAGCUGUUGCUUCACCUUAUUUUUCUUUAUUUAUUUCUUCUGGAUUAUGUACAACUUACAUACCAAGUUCGUCAGCCGUGCUUAGUUAUUUAUGUGCCAACUUUGCAAAACAGAAUGGUGGUUGUUCAUUGGCUAAUUAUUGAUGAUCAAUGCAAUUUUAAUGUGUUAUUUGUGUAGAAAUGCAAAAUAAAACUAGUUCCCAUGUUCAGUGUUUUGGUGAUCUACAAAGUCAGUUGAAGCUUUUUAAUGGGUGUAGGUUAUCUUCUCUUUUGAUUGGGUAUUUUGAUGAAAGUUAUUGCCCUUGCAAAUGAGUUUCUGGAUAACUAACAAUCGCUGCUGCUUCCCCUUGUUCUUCUUUAUUUAUUUCUUCCGGAUGAUAAAAGUAAUAGACUGUUUUCAUCAGCCGUGCUUAGAUAUAUUGUAUAUAUGCGGCUGACUUUACGAAACUGAAUGAGGGUUGUUCGUAGGGUAACCAUGGAUAUCACACAAUCUUAAAAUGUGUUAUUCAUGUAGAAAUGUGGAAUAAAACUGGUUCCUAUGUCUAAUGUUUCAGUGAUCUACAAAGUCAGUUGAAGUCAGUUCCCUAAGUAAUAUUGUUCAGGAUAUUAGUUUACCAGUUGUAUG